UACGUAGGUGGCAAGCGUUGUCCGGAAUUACUGGGCGUAAAGCGUGCGCAGGCGGUCCGCUAAGACAGAUGUGAAAUCCCCGGGCUUAACCUGGGAACUGCAUUUGUGACUGGCGGGCUAGAGUAUGGCAGAGGGGGGUAGAAUUCCACGUGUAGCAGUGAAAUGCGUAGAGAUGUGGAGGAAUACCGAUGGCGAAGGCAGCCCCCUGGGCCAAUACUGACGCUCAUGCACGAAAGCGUGGGGAGCAAACAG
RNAcentral lists this ribosomal RNA (252 nucleotides) under uncultured bacterium. RNAcentral's name for it is "partial 16S ribosomal RNA". It matches the Rfam family "Bacterial small subunit ribosomal RNA", at positions 524 to 775 of the family's 1533-position model. The record is from RNAcentral.